CAGGCCGCCAGCCACGAGGGGCCACGGCACUCGGCCUUGCUCGGAGCGGGGCGGGGGCGUCCUGGGGGCGCGGCCGGGCGCAGGUGUGUCAGGGACAGAGUGCACAGGGGACGGGGUGGGCCAGGCGUGCGCUCCAGCUGGGGGGUCGCAGGGCGGCUGGCAGAGGAGCCCGGAGCCCUCGGCUGUGGCUGCUGUUCCUUUUCUCGCUGAACAAAACGUGAUAAGGAAGUUCCCAGAGUCCUGAGAUCGAGUCCCACAUCGGGCUCCCUGCAGGGAGCCUGCUUCUCCCUCUGCCAAUCUCUCUGUCUCUCUCUCUGGGUCUCUCAUGAAUAAAUUAAUAAAAACUUAAAAAAAAAAACUUAAAAAAAAAAAAAGGAAGGAGCCCUUGGCUUUUGCUCCCCAGGGAACGUGGAUACUCUCUGGUCACUUGCCUGUCCUAGCCCACAUCUAGCAGGGCAGCUUUUCUUCUUCUGACAGGUGGGGCCCUGAUGCCUUGUCUGCCCCGGGGGUCCCGGACGCCUCCCCGCCCUGGGCUGGGGUCCUUGGCACACACAGCGGGUGGUGAGCCUCCCGACUGCAGGCGGACGAGCUGGCAGCUUUGCAGGAUCUCCAGUCUCCGUUGUAACCACCCCACUUGGACGUGUAGCAGGAGAGAAGCCCCAUCUGCAAACAAAGCCACCGGCUGCAAACAGUGCUGUUUACUAGAGUCCCAGUAAAACUUUACUGAGACGAAGAGAUGGCAGGCCACAUGUGGCCAGCCGUCGUUUGAUGAAUGGAGCUAAAGACGAUAUAUUUUAAAUAUUCUUCACUUACAAAAACAAAAAUUCAGUAAUGAAAGGAGCUGCCCAUUCCUGCAGUGGACACUGUUAGUGCUAAUGAAGACUUCUCCACCCUCCUACCCCCCGCCUUGAAGCUGGGGUGGUUGGGAAACUUUGGGUAACGAGCCAUGGACAGAAGUGACAUGUGUCACGGACUGCACCGUCUACCACCACCAUCACCCCCCCGAACAGUGUGGUCGCAUGCCAUGGGCCUCUUCUGUCGCAGAGGCGGGGGUGGCAGCGGAAGGGGCAGGGCCCACGGAUCGCUGCGGGGGCCGCGGGGAAGCCGGGACUCGCGGCUGCAGCAGAUGCUGUGGAAAUGCUGGAGUCAAGAAAUUCGUUUUUGACAUGUCAACCUUGAGAUGCCUCUGAGACAUUCCAAUGCAGGCGUCAGAAAGGCACUUGGAAAUACGAGCUUAUUUUAGAAAUUGGAAACCGGACUGCUGGCAUCUUUGGUUUAACGUGCAUAGAGUCUUUAACAG
This 1300-nucleotide long non-coding RNA is filed under the name Canis lupus familiaris (dog). RNAcentral's name for it is "lncRNA (ENSCAFG00040017768.1)". The record is from RNAcentral. Lineage: Eukaryota; Metazoa; Chordata; Mammalia; Carnivora; Canidae.